CCUACGGGUGGCAGCAGUGAGGAAUAUUUGUCAAUGGACGAGAGCCUGAACCAGCCAAGUAGCGUGAAGGAUGACUGCCCUAUGGGUUGUAAACUUCUUUUAUAUGGGAAUAAAAUGUUCCACGUGUGGGAUUUUGUAUGUACCAUAUGAAUAAGGAUCGGCUAACUCCGUGCCAGCAGCCGCGGUAAUACGGAGGAUCCGAGCGUUAUCCGGAUUUAUUGGGUUUAAAGGGAGCGUAGAUGGGUGUGUAAGUCAGUUGUGAAAGUUUGCGGCUCAACCGUAAAAUUGCAGUUGAAACUGGCAGUCUUGAGUACAGUAGAGGUAGGCGGAAUUCGUGGUGUAGCGGUGAAAUGCUUAGAUAUCACGAAGAACUCCGAUUGCGAAGGCAGUUCACUGGACUGCAACUGACACUGAGGCUCGAAAGUGUGGGUAUCAAACAGGAUUAGAUACCCUAGUAGUC
This 460-nucleotide ribosomal RNA is filed under the name uncultured bacterium. RNAcentral describes it as "partial 16S ribosomal RNA". It matches the Rfam family "Bacterial small subunit ribosomal RNA", at positions 338 to 795 of the family's 1533-position model. The record is from RNAcentral.